UACGGGGGGGGCAAGCGUUGUUCGGAAUUACUGGGCGUAAAGGGCUCGUAGGCGGCCACCUAAGUCAGGCGUGAAAUCCCUCGGCUUAACCGGGGAACUGCGUCUGAUACUGGAUGGCUUGAGUUUGGGAGAGGGAUGCGGAAUUCCAGGUGUAGCGGUGAAAUGCGCAGAUAUCAGGAGGAACACCAAUGGCGAAGGCAGCACUCUGGGACGUGACUGACGCUGAGACGCGAAAGCGUGGGGAGCAAACAGG
Molecule: ribosomal RNA, 253 nt
Filed under: uncultured bacterium
Lineage: Bacteria
Description: partial 16S ribosomal RNA
Rfam family: Bacterial small subunit ribosomal RNA
Source: RNAcentral